Molecule: small nuclear RNA, 103 nt
Filed under: Theropithecus gelada (gelada)
Lineage: Eukaryota; Metazoa; Chordata; Mammalia; Primates; Cercopithecidae
Source: RNAcentral
AUGCUUGCUUUGGCAGCACAUAUACUAAAAUGGGAUAUGAUACAGAGAAGAUUAGCUUCUUCACAAGGAUGACAUGGAAAUUCAUGAAGAAUUCCGUAUUUUU